RNAcentral lists this long non-coding RNA (43284 nucleotides) under Phaseolus vulgaris (common bean). RNAcentral describes it as "long non-coding RNA (PVUL_LNC002155)". Lineage: Eukaryota; Viridiplantae; Streptophyta; Magnoliopsida; Fabales; Fabaceae. The record is from RNAcentral.
GUUUUAACCUGAACUUGGCGAUCGUGGUGAACAAUUCCUCCAAGUCUGCAACAUGCUUGCUUUUCUCCGGCGAGGUCACGACCAUGUCAUCCACGUACGCUUGCACAUUUCUUCCCAGCAUUGGUGCAAGUACUCGGUCCAUCAACCUCUGGUACAUGGCCCCCGCGUUCUUCAGCCCAAAAGACAUCACCUUGUAGCAGUAGCACGAUCUCUCGGUCAUGAAGGCAGUCUUCUCUUCAUCCAUGGGAUGCAUCUUUAUCUGGUUGUACCCCGAGAAGGCAUCCAGAAAACUCAACAACUUACACCCUGCAGCACUAUCCACCAGGGCGUCUAUGCUUGGUAAAGGAUAUGAGUCCUUUGGGCAAGCCUUAUUCAGAUCAGUGAAAUCGACGCACAUGCGCCAUUUCCCAUUACUCUUCUUCACCAGUACGACAUUUGCCAACCAUUCAGGGUACUGGACUUCCCUGAUGUGGCCUGCAGCGAGGAGCUUCUGGGUUUCGUCUCUAAUCGCCUGCCUCCUCUCCUCGUUGAACUUUCUUCUCCUCUGCCGCACUGGUCUCACCAAGUUGUCCAUCGCCAAAUGAUGGCACAAGAAGUCGGGAUCGAUCCCGGGCAUGUCCGAAGCGGACCAUGCAAACGCAUCCAGAUGCCGCUCUAUCACCUUGGCGAUCUGGUCCUGGAGCUCGACCUCCAGAGAUCUUCCCAGCUUGAAGAUCUUUCCUCCGAUCUCUCUCUCGAGCCACUGCUCGACGGGUUUUGGCCUGGUUUCUCUGGCGAUCACCGCCCUGGCGAUUCCCAGCUCCCUCGCUUCCUCAGGGCGAUUCCUUGCCUCUUCUUCCUCUAAACCGGCGUUCCCCUCCCCCAGCUCAGCAUCCACCAUCACCACAUCUCUUCCGGCGGUCUCUUCUAUUAUCGUCGAUCUGGGCUUCACGCCAGGAGGCGGGGUGGUUGUCACGUAACUCACCGACAUCUUGUUCUUCAGGCUAUUCUCAUAGUACUUCUUCGCUUCUUUCUGGUCGGAUUUGAUGGUGAUCACCACCCCCUCCAAAGACGGCAACUUCACCUUCAUGUGCCGGGUCGACGGUAUAACGCCUAUUCUGUUGAGCGUGGGUCUUUCCAGCAGAAUGUUGUAUGCUGAAGGGGCGUUUACGACAAGGUAUUUGAUUUUUUCUGUUCUCGAACCCGCCUCAUCUGUAAACGUAGUCCUCAACUCGAUGUACCCCCUGACCUCCACCUGGUCACCAGCGAAACCAUACAAACACCCUCCAUAGGGCCUCAGCUGGUCAAGGGGUAACUCCAACUGCGUGAAAGUUGGCCAGAACAUCACGUCUACCGAGCUUCCUUGGUCCACCAGAACCCUGUGGACCUUCCUUCCUGCUGUGAUCAGCGAGAUGACUAUGGGGUCGUUGUCAUGAGGCACAACGUCCCGAAGAUCUUGCUUUGUGAACGUAAUGUCCACAUCCGGCGAGUGGUCUUCAAACAUAUCCACCGUCAUCACGGACCUCGCGUACUUCUUCCUUUGUGACGCGGUGCAUCCACCACCCGAGAAACCCCCCGCAAUGGUGUGGAUUUCCCCGUGUGUAGGCAUCUCGUGCUGCUGAGCCUCUCCACCUGCUGGUUGGGAGCUCGACGCGCCCCCCGUCCUUCUGUCCAGCAAGUAGUCGUUUAGGAACCCGCUCUUGACCAGAUCGUCGAGCUGGUAUCCUAAAGCCAAGCACAAAUCCACGGUGUGGCCAAAGCCCUGGUGAAACUCACACCAGGCGUCUGGCUUUGGUCCCAGCACCUUGUCGCCCACCUUCUCGGGCGCUUUCAACCUAGCUGAUAUAUUGGGAAUGGCGAUCAGGUCCGCCAAUCCCAUGACAAACUUGUGCUUUGGCGGGCGAUUGUACUCCCGGCGUGCUAGUUGCGGGCGCCCUGGGCCCCUGCCCUUGUUCUUCCUUGGAUCAUAAGGAUGGCGAGUCCUCUGAUCCCUCCUGGCCGCCGCUGUCUCCAGCACUCUCUGUGGCUGGAUCCUGGUCUGGGCACGUGGCCUAGCGGGAGCCACGCUUCCCCUCUUCUCGGCGACCUCACUUUCAUCGGCGAUGUGGACCACCGCAAGUCGCCUGACCUCAGCAAAUGUGGCAGGGUGAGCCCUGAUCAAUGCCUUGCAGAAUGGUCCCGACAGCACGCCCUUCUUGAAUGCGUAGACCAGCAUCUCUUCAUCUUUGGCUGGCGAGCGGACCAUCUGCGCCCCAAAACGAUUCAGGUAGUCCCUGAGGGACUCUCCCUGGUACUGCCUUAUGUCGAACAAAUCAUAAGACACCCUGGGCGGUGCCUUGUUCAUGAUGUACUGCUCGACAAAGAUCUUUGAAAACUGUUGGAAGUUGGUUAUGUGACCUGUAGGCAGGCUCACAAACCAUUCCAGCGUCGUUCNNNNNNNNNNNNNNNNNNNNNNNNNNNNNNNNNNNNNNNNNNNNNNNNNNNNNNNNNNNNNNNNNNNNNNNNNNNNNNNNNNNNNNNNNNNNNNNNNNNNNNNNNNNNAAACAGCCUUCACAGGUACCACACUCGCAGGGAUGGGCGUGUCGGUAAUCGCCUGAGCGAAAGGCAUAGGAAAAACGCGAGGCGGCGUCGACGGCGCGACCUCUUCAGCGACUGGGCGCCCUCGCUGCUCCUGAAGAGCUUGACGCAGUUCUUCAGUCACUCUGCUAAGCUCAUCAUUCCUGGCCCGAGAGGCGACCAGAUCCUUGUGCAUUCUCGCCUGCUCUAUGCGCGAGGCUUCCACAUUCGCCUGCAGCGAACGCAUGAUUUCCACCAUCUGCGCCAUAGUCAUGGCGCCUUCAGCAGCAACGGGCGCAACUGGACUUGAACGGUUGCUUCUCAUUUUUCUCAUGAAAACUUGACGAAUCAUAGAGUGAAAUGAACAACACCUCCUUCAGCGGCGAUCGAUUCCGCGAUCAAUCGGUCAGAACUUCGCGAAACUUCGAAAGAAACCUCAAGAGCACAGGAAACCUCCAUAGAAACCCGCAACUCCACCAAAAGCCAACGCUUCUUCCACGAAAAACCAAACGAGCCAAAGAACUUAGAUCUCACCGAACAAAACUCGCGUAAGCAGCAGAAAACUUCACCUCACCGAACAAAAACCCAAACGAACGGUGGAAAACGCGAAACCACCGAACAAAACCUAGACGAACAGCGAACAACCACACAGAAACUGCAGAAACCUUCAAGAACUCACGCUGUGGAUGGGAACAGGUUUUACACGGCCCCACGGUGGGCGCCUGAUGAUCCUGCCUGUUGACCAAAACGCUGGAGUUUUGCCUCGUCAAACUUGGAUCGACGUAUGCGCCGUGUUUGCCUCCGUCCUUCGCCGCGAUCCACCUCAAGAACCUGCAAAAGACGAAACGACGCCGCUGCGGCCGAUCGCACUCCAACGCCCAAGUCAGUGACUGAACCACCAAUUACUAAGAGUAACACUUAAGAACUCUAAGGAACCGUGAACCAGUUCUCUCUCAGUAUACUCAAGAACUCGCAAGCGUAAAGAAGACAAUCUGAACGUGCAUACCUCAGAAGUUCGUUGGAAACUCUUAUAUACCUGGACACUUUCUCUCUCCUGGCAGUUACACAUCUGGACACGUGGCUCGCAUCCAGCUGUACACGUGCCAUCAUCUGGAGCAUCCUUGACUUGGGCGCUACUUCUGACUCUCCUUUGGCUAAGUUACUUAUGCAUGAUACUACUCAGUGCAUAGUUGUCUUGGAGCGCGAUCCCUUCUGGAUUGGCGAGUUAGGGUGCCUUCGUAGACACCUUCCCUGUGGUCUCGCCGGCCGCCUUCAUGAUCUGCACCACCUGUUUCACCGUGUAUGCUCAAGCAAGCUGUCCCCCGACCUCAUCCUCUGGCCAGCUGGGAAAUGUCUAUCUGCCUUCAUCUUCGGCGAUGUCCUUGUUUCGGCGAUCUCUAAUCACUUGGUCGCCUGGGUUUACAUCUGGCGACUUCAUCUUUAACCCGGUGACCGCCGGUUCUGGUGUGCUGGAGAUCGGAGCACGCCAACUUAAUAACUGGCGACUACAUGAGCCCCCCGACUUCCUUCCCUUCUGCCAGCCAGGCGUCCCAUCAACACGCCUAUACAAUAGAUUGAUGCCACGUCAUCACUUCCGACUACCAGGGCGGUACAGUAUCAAGUUUAUGAACUUCCUAUACUAUUCAACAAAUCAAUUGAAUUGUCAAUUCCAGCAAGCAUUAUAGGAAAAUGAAAAGUGAAAACUGCACCAAAUAACUAAUGGUUUUCACACUAAUAAAAAAACAAACAAACACCAGUUGCUGCAGGUUUCUAAAACCUACAACAUUCAAGAAUGAACCAAUUCAUCGAAUCAAAUACUAAAAUUUGCACCGAAAUUAGUGCUCUGUUUCAACAGUCCCAGGAUUGAAUCAAUUAUGCAGCGAACCAACACUCAGAUGCAAAUACACUAAUUACAAACAAGAUUAGAGGUGCACAAAUCCCUCUCCUUCGUCACUCACAUUGAAAACAACACUACCGUACUCGCGUCCACCACCUCUCCAACCUUCAACCUCACCAUUAAAACACGCAACGCAACAAGAAAAGUCUAUUUGGUUUCAAAACAAAAAAUGCAAAAACACAAAAUCUAUUUUAUAUAUAAUUUUCACUUAGAAUAUAAAUGCAUAAAUCGUAUCAAAACGCAUAAAUCACAUACUAACCUAGAAAAUGACAAAGAUAGAGUUGAAGGCAAUGCAAAGCAACACCGUCGAAGAUCGUUGUGCCGUGCGCCAAGUUGUUCAUUCUCAUUUUCUUUCUAUCAGAGUAACAUUUUUGUUUAAGAAAAAUGAAGAAAAGUGGAAAAAGGAAGAAUGAGAGAAGCGGGAAGCUGAAACAAUGGCAACUAAAUAUGACAAGAGAUAAAAUGGGAAAAAUGAAGAAUGAGACAAGCGGGAGAAAACAAAAGUGGGAAAAAAUUUGGAUUUUUUUCUUUUAAUUUUAAUUAUAAAAAAUAAAUAUUAUUAUUAUUAUUAUUAAAAUAAACAAUUACAUUUAGCGACAAAAAAAAUUCGGUAACUAAAAAAUAGAUAUAUUUGGUGGCUGAUUCGGUGACAAAAAUAAACAAUUAUAUUUAGCGACCAAAAAAAAAAUCGGUGACUAAAAAAUAAACAUAUAUAGUGGCUAAUUCGGUGGCAGAAAAUAAACAAUUAUAUUUAGCAACCGAAAUAAAAUCGAUGGCUAAAAUAUAAACAUAUUGGGUCGCUAAUUCGGUAGCAGAUAUAUCUUUCCCAAUUUAUUCAAAACAGCCACCACUUUAGUGACCGAUGAUUUUGUCACUCUCAUGUUCGGUCGCUCAUUCGGUCGCAAAACUAACUAACAUCAUUAACAAUUCAUUCGGUCGCUAUUUCGAUCGCAGAUUUGACACUAAGAAUAUUCAGUAACUAUUUCGGUCGCAAAUUGCGACCACUUAUUUUCAGUCGCUGAAUUCAGUGGCUAAAUUGUUAUUUUAUUGUAGUGUGUGUUUUUUAAGUGUCUUAAUUAUAUUAAAGACUAGAGGGAAUAAUUUACUUUGUAUAACUCGGAAUGGAAAAGCUUGUUUAUGCAAGUUAUAGAAAUUAAAACUACAUGCAAUAUUAGUCUGCAGAUUCUCCACCUAAAGAUUUAUAUAUAAAAAUAAUAUAAUGACAAAUUCUUCCUACACCUUAUAAUAAAUUGUCACUUACAUUUCAUUGCUUUUUAAAUUUCUAAGUUGUCUUCUAUUCUAGAAAUGAAUAUUCAGAAUUCAAAAAAUACAUUCUGAAAAUAAUUUUGGAAUAAUUUUUAUGUUUCAGAAUGAAACUUUAAUAUAAAAUUCAAAAUCUUAUUCUGAAAAAUUAAUUUGAAAACAUAAAAAGUACAUUUUUAAAAAAAAUCCAGAAAUAUAUUUUAUUUUAAAAAAUCAAUUCCAAAAAACAAAAUUCAAAAAUAUAUUUCAGAAAAAGAUUCUGACAAUUAAAAAAAUAUUUCUCGUAAACUUGCUGUUGGACAAGAAUUAAGAAAUAUUCUGAUAUACACCCUUCUUUUAUUUAAAGGUAUUUUUGUCAUUUUGAUCCGAUGGAGGAAAUAAUUACUAAAUAUAAAUAAAAGGGCUGUUUAGGAUGAAACUUCUGUAAUAGACCUUCAAAUUCUCUAGCAGUUCAUGGACUUUAUUAUAAAAAAGAAACUUUUUAGCACGAGAUAUCUCUUCAUUUAUUCAGCAUCCUCGUUAAAUUAGUUGAGUUUUUCAGUGUUUGAAAUAUAUAAGAUAGUUAGUCACGUUAAAAGAAAAAAAUUACUUAAAUUUUUAAGCUACAUUAAACGUCUAAUUACAUCUCCUGUUUUAUUUAUUUUAUGUUAAAAGUAUUCCAAAUACUAAAUUAGGUGUUAUCAAUUUUGAUUUUGAUUUUUUUAAUCAUUUAAACAUAUAAACUAUUUACUAAAUAGUUCAAACAUGGGGUGUUUCUUCCUCCACCCUCCUGCAUCCCAUCAAUUAAGUGAAAUGAUCAAAAUAUCUUAUUUGAUUUUUCGUUUUUUCAUAACUGAAAAUUUUAUUCUGAAAAAUACAUUCCAUAACAUAUAUAACAUGUUUUCUGAAAAUAUAUUUUAUGAUUUUGAAAAAUAUGUUCCGAAAACAUUUUGAUGUUUUGGAAUAAGAAAUUCAGAAACUAUUUUAAAAUAGAUAAAACAAUUUUUUUCAAAAAUAAUGUAGUAGAGGGAGAAAUUUGUUGCGAUUCAAGGAGAAACUCCUCCAAAUUUGUCUCAUAACUCUCCUCCAACGGUUUCUUCUUCCACCUCCAUAUAUUCUUUUCUCACUUUCAUAAAUUUUUAUAUUUUCAAAAAUAUCUUUCUGUAAUAUUCUGGAUUAUGUAAUCUGGAAGUCUUUUUUCAAAUUCGUAAUUAACUUUCAGAUUAUAUAAUCAAAAAACAUUUUUUCAUAUGCAUGAUUAAUUUUCGGAUUACAUAAUCUGAAAGUAUUUUUUAGCUUCCAAAUUAUGUAAUCCGAAUGUCUUUUUUCAAAUGCGUGUCUAGAAUACAUAAUCCAAAAGCUACUCUAUGGGAUAACACAAAAAGGAUAAAAAAAAAUAUUUUCAUGUUUCGUAUGGAGUUACAGAAGAAUAUAUGGAGGUGGAGGAAAAAACAAUACUCUCCUCCAUUAAAAUUGGACCUUCAGGGCUAUAAGAAAAAAAAGCACAUUUUAUUAGGGCAAUUUUUUCCUGCACCAUAUCUGAUGGAAGACGCCCCAAGCACAACCUUCCAUGAAAGGCAAGGACAAGAGCGUCUAGGACAAAGGCAAGAGCGUCUAGGAUCAAGGCAAGAGCGUCUAGGACAAGGGCAAGAGCGUCUAGGACCAAUCACAAGGUCCAUGUCCAAGAGAGUGGAAGAAGAUUUGGAUCAAGCAUAUGUCUCCAAGAAGACCCAUCAAGUGUAGCCUAGUUUUAAUUGUGGUGCAAAUAGCCUAGCAUUGUGAACCUUUGUUUAAAUUCUGCAAAUUAGGAUUAAGAAAGGAUUAACCUAGAUUAGCUACGGUUUUCUAGAACCUACCACUAAUCUAGGACCGACCAUGUGAAGGUUAGGAGGCCAUGUGCUCCAUGUGCCUCUCAUUUGCAUGUCAUUUAGGUUACAUUUGCUUCUCAUUUACUUUGCCAUUUACGGUCCUCCUUAGGCUAUAAAAAGGAGGAGCCUACCUCAUGUAAUUUUAAGAUUAAAUUGAGUAUUUUUAUGCUGCCAAACUUGAGUCAUACUUUACUCCCUUGCCUAGAAUUUAGGUCUUAAUCUUCAAUCCUUUCACCUUUCAAAGGGGUUGGCCAAACCUCCCUAAAUUCCCUACUCUUCAUGUACCUCCAAGGCAGCCACACCUCCUAGGAGGGCCUUGAUCCAUCAACAAACCACCCAAAAACCACAAAAGAGAAGAGUUCAAUGCCAUCAAUAUCAAUUCUUACAUGCACCCUAUCAUUUCUUUAAUUUCCAAAAUUACCCUUAUUCCGGAUUUAAAAAUCUGGAAUAGAAAAUAUAAUUAAAAAAAACAUUCCGUUAUUUUGGAAGGGCAGGUUGGGUUGGAAUUGGUAUGUAGGUAAUACCCACUGACUCCAAGUCAGUAGGCAAGUGGGACUCGAAGCCAAGUCCCUUGAAGAAUGUCCAUAGAAGUUUUAACCAUUACACCAGUCAAGUUUUGUUGUCAUGUUAUGAUUAUUAUUAUAAUUAUGAAUAUGAUUAUCAAUAUUAAUAUAAUUAAUAAAAUAAAAAUUAUUAAUAUUAUUAAAUAUUAUUAAUAUUAUAAAAUAUUAUGAAAUACUAUUAAAUAUUAUUAAUAUUAUUAAAUUUUAAAUAUUAUUAAUAUUGUAAAAUAUUAUUAAUAUUAUUAAUAUUGUUCGUGCCAGUUGACCAGAUUGUGCUUCGUGCGUAGCUAAGACUCGCGUAUCAAGGACUCCUUCAUCUUUGUUCCAAAUCUCCACCCUUCGCUGUUGUGAGUACCUGAAACAGAGAGAACAAAGGGCGCCCUCACGGCUGUUUACACUCCGACGCUCAAGUCAGUAUAGUAGUAAAACACCGUGCACCCUCCGUAUCGGAACACCGCAACUGUAGUGUUUUGAAGGUGCGUAACUGUUUUCUAACUAACUUCUCUCUUGUGCUCAAAUCACUCGUGCGUACAGUGUGUAAGUGUACAAAUGAUUCAAACGUACCUUACUAAGCUUUCAGAAAAGCUUAUAUACCUUGGAUUUCAGUGCUUCUGCCACGUGUCACCUAGGACUUAAGCGCAACUCUGGGUAGAGGCCUUACGACGCUGUAACCCAACUUAGAGAAAUCCCAGCGCGUAAGCCUCCCUUCCUUGAAGUGCAUCUGGCGUGAGGGGUGACUACCUGGGUGCCAACUCAUGCGCCCCAGCCUCUAGUCACUCGCCCUGGGAUUAUCUCUGCCUUCCUCUCGUACCAUGCGUGUAGAUUACCCUCUGGGACGUGGUCCUCUCCCAGGUCGUAUAUGUCCCAGUGGUUCUUCAAAGGUGGCGUGCACUGCCGCGUCUUUACACCUCAUGCAUGGGUACUUCACGAGUCAGGCCUCUCCCUGCUGGUACUGGGAGUAUGGCUUUGAAACCAUCUUUCUCUUCUCUUUAUUACUCUUAUGAGAUGCCGAGGCCCGAGGCCUCCACGCCCUUACCGAGGCCUCUUAUCGCGCUGCCCCCUCCACGGUCACUCCAUCCCGCGGGUAUCGGGGGGUGGCCCUUCCUAUCUAUGGGCGCGUCCUAUGGCGCUGCCUCCUCCACGAUCGUUCCUACCCGUGGGUAUCGGGAGGUAGCGCCCAUCGGAUGUAAGUACCCCUUGGUUCGGACACAGUCAACGCCCGAGGUUGGUCAACGCCCGAGGUUGGUCAACGCCCGAGGCCUGACCAUCUUCCUUCUCGUCUCCCUGUGCCCUCAAUGGGUCCUACCAAGUGUUGACUUUGGUCAAUGCCCAUGGACGGGUCGGUACAAAUAUUAUUAAAUAUUAUUAAUAUUAUUAAAUAUUAUUAAUAUUAUUAAAUAUUAUUAAUAUUAUUAAAUAUUAUUAAUAUUAUUAAAUAUUAUUAAAUAUUAUUAAUAUUAUUAAAUAUUAUUAGUAUUAUAAAUAUUAUUAAAUAUUAUUAAUAUUAUUAAAUAUUAUUAGUAUUAUAAAUAUAAUUAAAUAUUAUAAAUAUUAUUAAAUAUUAUUAAUAUUAUUAAAUAUUAUUAAUAUUAUUAAAUAUUAUUAAAUAUUAUUAAUAUUUUUAAAUAUUAUAAAUAGUGUUAAUAUUAUUAAUAUUAUAAAUAGUGUUAAUAUUAGAAAUAAUGUUAAUUUUAUAUAUAUUUUUAUUAAUAGUAUUUAUAUUAUUAAUGUUAUUAUUACUAAUAUUAUUAUUAUUAUUAUUAUUAUUAUUAAUAUUAUUAAUAUGAUUAUUAUUAUUUAUGAAUAUUAAUUAUGAUUUUAUAAUUUUUCAUAUAUAUUAAUAUUUUUAAUAUUAUGUAUAUAAUUAUUAUAAUAAUAGUUGGUAGGUAAUGGAAAUUCGUGGGUGAUAGUUCGUAGAUAAUAGAGAUUCGUGGGUAAUAGUUGGUAGGUAAUAGAGAUCCGUAAGUAAAAGUUGGUAGGUAAUAAGAUUUGUGAGUAAUAGUUGGUAGGUAAUGUUGAAUUUACCUACGGAUUCAAAAUCUGUGAGUAAUGUCCAUAGAUAAUGUUGUUCGUAGGUAAUAUCCGUAGGUAAUGCUGAAUUUACCUACAGACUCAGAUCCGUGGGUAAAAAUCCGUAAAUAAUACUGAAUUUUUUAGUUCCUAAUAGUUAGGCAGAGAGAAUCCCCUCAGUUGUUCUAAAUGAUUUUAGGAGGGGUAAGAAAUAUAAAUUUUAUCUCCUCUCUCAGAGUGUUUUGUCUAUUUUUCCAUCAUUGAGGAAAACAUGUAAAAAUAUUGUAUUAUUUUUUUUCAUUAAAAUCUAUCAUGUAAAAACGGUACUAUGUAGAAACAAAAUAGGUAAAACUUGAGAAAGUUUUAUUCAAUAUAGAACCCAAGGCUCACUUCAUAAAGAGAUUAGUGUGUUUGUAUUUUUUUUUUUCACUAACCAAAUAUUAUAUAAAAAUUGAAAAGAUUUUAUGUGAUAAAUUAUAAUAUAAAGAUGUCAAUUUGAACUUCACAAAACUAUUCCUAAUAUAAAUUACUCACAAAAUAAAGUUAUUUUAGUAAAUUAUAUCAUUAUCUAACUAAAUUACACAAAUAUUAUUUCCUUACACAGAUUAACCUAAAUUAAUUUAUUAUAAUCUCAAUAUUUUACAAAUUAUAAUAACACAACCAAUAUUGUAAAAUAUUUUUUUUAAAGAUGUCUAAUUAAAAUUAAUUUAUUCCAAACAUAUGUGUUCUUCUUCAUCAAACUUACACCAUAGGAUAAUUGAUGCAAUCUAAAAGAAUCUCUUCCUAGCAAUUUCUACAUUGAGAAUCAAACUUCAAUCUAAUAUCAAUUGUUGAAUUGAUGUUUAUCAUCAAGCUAAAUGUUACGAUGAUUAUGUUAGAGAUACUUUUUCUACUUAAGUGCAUAAAUAUAAGUAUCAUAAUUCAAUUAUGACUUGACUUACUUAACCUAUGUCAUGGUACAAUUGAUGCACAAUGUAAAAAUAUAACAAAACUAAAUUAAAAUUAGUCACUCAUGUUCUCACUUGGGAGUAAUUCUACUAAUUAGAAGUUGAUACAAGUUGAUACAAAAUGUUUGAAGAUAUGUUUCCCAAGCACCCUUUUGACAAAUUAGAAUCUUUUUACCUACCAAAAUAAUGUAAAUUGUAGGGACUUAUUUUUUCAUGAUAAUGUAAGAGUGUGAUAUAAAUUUUAAAAGGAUCUAGAAAAAAGUUGAAAACAAAAAGAGUUAGUUUACCUAUAUAUCGUUUUUAUUAACAUACGAGUUUUGGUUUAAUCCCCAUACUUUUUUGUAUUUUCUUUCUUUUUUCUUUUAAUAAUAUUUUUUUCAUGUGAUGGCAGAUGAUUGUUGUUACUUGAAGUAUCAACCUAGCUGAGAUGUGAAAUUGAAUAGUGAUGUCUAACAUGAAAAAUUUAUAAAAAAAAUAUGAAAAAUUUAUUUCUUUUUCUUUUUCAAAAUAGAAAAAAAAAACUUAUUUUGUUUUUCAUUCUCUCAUCUUCAUUUCUCCUUUUUCCUACUCUUUAAAUUCAAAGCUCUAAAAUUAUUUUCUUCCUUCAUUGCAAAAUUUGACCAAUAAUCUAACUUACUGAGUUUUGUGUUAGGUAACUUUUUUUUUUCUUUUUUCUUCAAUUUCUACUUCUUUAUUGUUCUUACAAGAAAAGAACGUAGAUCUUCCGAGGUAAGAGAAUGUGGUUUUCCUAGCAAGACGGGUUGUGAUCUCAAGAUAUGAUUGUUGAUGUCUUUGAAGACAAUGAUGAGAGAUCCACCUGUAGAAACACUUAAGUCAGUGGGAACAAAAGAAAUUAUGAGUAUAUAAGUGAGUAUGAGAAUUGAGUGAGUACUCUUUGUGGGAUUGAUCUAUAUUUAAAAUGCAUCCCUAAAUAUAUCACCAUAAUGAGGGUGGCGCAUAUAUGGAUGCAUUAUUUGUGUCACCAUUAUUAUGGGGCACAUAUAGGGAUGCAUUUUAUAGAUAUUUUUUUUUUAUUUGUGCUAAGGUAUUCAACAAAUAUUCUUCACUAUGCAACUUUUCAAGUUGCAUAGUUUCAUUUAGUAUUAUUGUAGUUGUCGUUACUGUUAUUUAUUGCGUAACUUGAGGUGUUCUUUGACUCGGUCAGUUAGUCACCAAACCUGGCUCAUCCAGUACCAAUCGAUACAAAUGCAAUUUUUUUUAAAUAUUUCUUUAGUUUUACUCUUUUAACUUCUACACAUAGUUCAUGAAAUAGAAAAAUAAUAGGAAUAAAAAUAUUCUGGUCAUAUUUUUAACGUAGUACUUUCAAAAACUAUGUUAAUUUUUUACACAUUUAUAUAUAUAUUUUUUAAAAAACUUGUAUUACUUAAUAAUUUUAUAUUUAUGCAUUUUUGUUUUCCACAUGUGUAAUUAAAAUAUAAGAUACAAUAGAUAUAAAUACUUUUUAAUUUUUCUUUCUGAAAUACAAACUAAAGUUCUGAUAAGGAGAGUCUUAUUCUAAGUCAAAUUUAAUAUUUGGAAGAAAGAUUAAAAAGAUUUUUUUACUGGAAAGGAAGGUUUUGUAUGAUUUUAAUUAUAUUUUUUCAAUAAAUUAUAUUAAUAUUUAACUUUUAAGUAUCGUAUCAUUUUUAAUAGGUAAAAUGCAUAUUAUUUAAUAUAUUUUACAUAUAAUUAUUUCCAAAUAAGAUUUAAGUAAUAUGAACAGGCUAUAUUGAUGAAAGAGAAUUAGAUAAUUUCAUACACAAUGUUUAAUCGUUUAUUAAAAAAAAACAAUGUUUAAUCGUAGGUGUUAAUAUAUGGUGCAAAUUAUAACUAAAUUUAAAUAAAAAUAUAUAUACGUUUUAAUUUCAAUCAAAUUAAAAAAUGGAAUAUUGAAAAAACUUGAAAUAUAUUUUUAAAUAAGAAAGGUAAAGUAUAGAAGAUAAAAAUUUAAUAAGAGUGAUUAAAAUUAUAAUAUUUUAUACAUGUAUAUAUAAUUUAUUACAGUUUAUAAUUAAUAGAUUUACGGAAAAAAGUUAAACGGACAUUUUAUGUUGUUCAAAAAAUAAAACAAGUUAAAAAAUAAAUAAAGUAUAAGAUGAAAUAUAAACUCUACUUAUUCAAGUUCAUGUCAUUUUUUACAGAUUUAUUUUUUUUACUGAAUAAAUUAAAUUUACAGGAUACUUGAAAGGUAUCUCAACCCGUAUACAAAAAGCUAGAAGCCUAAAGCUUGGUACCCUCUCUGUUUUCAAAUGCAACUAACAAUUGCCGCCCACAAUCUUAGCCACACCUGGUUUUGUUUAUUAGAGAGAUAGAUUAAGUGGAAAUUCUCCAUAUGAUUCUUAAUACCCCUGUUUUGGGCCCCCAAAAUACCGAUCCAACGGUAGCACCUUGACCAAACUCGUUGUGCAAAAACAUAGUCAAGGAAGAGGUGUUGAUAGGAUUCUUCUAACAUAUUGCAUAAUGCACAUAAAGGCGAAUUCACCAACACACCCCUUUUUAUAAGAUUAACUCUAGUUGGAAUUUUAUCCAAAAGUACUCUCCAAGCAGUGACAAACACUUUUGGCAUGGUUUUUUGCUUGCCAUAAACUACAAAACACACCUUCCCUUAUGCCAACUUGUUGAUGGUUGGCCAAAAUAUAGUAGGUUGAUUUAACCGAAAAAUACCUUUCGGGUCCCCCUCCAAAGGAGAUGGUCCUGGGCUUCCUUACACAUACUCCCCGUACUAAGUAUAGAUAGCAAAUAUGUCUCCAAAUUACACUAUCAUUCGUACUUGUCCCUUCUCCAAUUCAACCCCCACCGCCAUCUAUCCUCUUCCCAUCUUCCUACCUCCCCCACUAACUUACCUUGAUCGCAAGACAAAGAGUAGAGUCUGGGAUGCAGUGUUUUCAUACUAAUGGAUUGUAUCCACACAUCCUCCCAAAAUCUCACUGUGGCCCCGUUGCCUACUUUCCAAGCAGUAGCCUUUUGGAACCAUCCUUCUUCAACCUCGUCACCACAUAUCUUGGCUAGAUCCCUCCACCACCAAGAUUGGUAAUUUAACCUAGCCUGUCUUAUAUAUGGUUUUGUACCGUAUUUGGAUACAAAAAUUUCUUUCCAUUUUCCUCCCUCACCAGACAUAAGCCGUCAUUUCCAUUUUGCCAAAAGAGUUAAAUUAAAAUUCAUAGUCUCCUUCACUCCCAAACCUUCUUCCUCUAGGGGCUUACAAACAUUGUCCCAACUAACCCAAGAGAUCAAUUUGUUUUGUCUUCCCCAAUCCCAAAGAAAUUUUCUUUGAAUGCUGCUUGAUCCUGCUGGUUGACCUAGCGCAAGAGCGUUGCCUCGUCACGAUCCUCCUCACCAGCUUGACACCACGUGCCCUUCAAGUCCACACCACAGAUAGUCUCUCUGAGAACCUGAAAGCACAAGAUGGCGCCUCUACGGCCGGUGGCGCUCCGACGCUCAAGUCAGUAACAAGAACACCCAAAAACUGAGAGAAAAUAUACUCUGUAGAACCGUACUAAGGUGCACACAACCCUAUCAAUGAGUCGUAAUGAAAAACGUACCUCUGCAAAUUCUGUUAAGUUUACCUUUAUAGCUAGGUUUUUUCUCGCUCCAGGCCGUUAUGCUUUUGGACGCGUGACUCGCAUCCAACCCUGCACGUGUCGCCAUCUGGGCUGGGGUAGCAGGUAGCAUCCAGCCCUACACAUGUCAUCAUCUGAGCUAGGGUAAUUCGAGCGCCAUUUCCAUAUUGCAUCUAACCCUACACGUGUUGUCAUCUGGGUUGGGGUAGCAGGUAGCAUCCAACCCUACACGUGUCGUCAUCUGGGUUGGGAUAACUCGUGCGUUAUACCUGUGUAGUAACCAGCCGCGCGGCUAAGUCCUCUACUCAAGGAGUAACCUAGCAUGCAAUACGUUCUGGAACACCACCCGACAAGGCAAGUAUCGGAUGCAGCGAAGUGCACCAUCUCUGUGAUAUCGCUUGUCGCAAGUGGCACCUUCCUCGUUGCUACACCAUGCAUGUUCCAGCUGAGGAAACCUUGCCACCAACGGAUGUCCACUCUGGGAAUCAUUUCGCUGAUGGGCAAGUUGUUCCCUUCAACCCACACGACCUUCACGCCUCAUGCCGGCGCAACAAUCAUCUUACUGAACCUACACGCUUGAACUGACUCUUCUGAGCUUCCAGCAGCUUUAACUAAGCUUACCGGGAGAUUCGGCGAUGUUCUCCUUGUGGUGAUGUCAGACCACCUGAUCUUCCAUUAUUCAACACGUCGAUGACACAGAAAUCCAGCGACAACCGACUAUUUGCACCGCAGAACGCCACUUCCUCGAACGGCGAUCAUGUGCACCGCAGAACGCCACUUCCCCAAACGGCGACCAUGUACACUUCUGAACCAUCCCUCUUUCUCUUGUCCACGUGUCCUGCUGAGCACGCCCCACACCGUCACUUGCUGGACACGUCAUCACACGUCAUCACACCCGAUGACCUGGUCGGUACACUGCUGAUUUUGUUACACACUGCUACCGGGGCUUUGAAUAUAGAAAGGUAAAACAAUGGUAUGGCAGUGAACACCGAUUUUAGUAGACAAAUCCGACCUGCCAUGGAUAGGAAUCUCCCUUUCCAUGAACUAAGUCUAGCUUCAAUUUUCCUUACUACCGGUUCCCAAAACUGUUUCUUCCUUGGAUUUCCUCCCACUUCUACCCCCAGAUAUUGGAAGGGGAUCCUCAUGGUAUUACAAUUUAAAGUCUUCGCGUAUGUAUUCAUGACAAAACUAUCCACACCGAUUCCUGCCAACUUAGAUUUGUGGAAGUUGACUUUUAAACCUGAAACCAUUUCAUAGCACCAAAGGAUGACCUUGAUUGCAAAAAUAUUAUCAAAAGAAUCUUCACACAUGAAAAGUGUGUCAUCUGCAAACUGUAGUAGGUAGCACUCAAUGUUGUUCCUUCCCACCUUUACUCCCUUGAGCAUAUCCUUUCUCAAAGCUUGUCUCACCAUCCCUACUAAACCUUCAGCCACCACUAAGAACAAGAAAGGAGCCAAUGGAUCCUGUCUCAACCCCCUAGAAGGUUUGAAUUCCUCGAAGGGGCUUCCGUUGACCAACACCGAUACAGAUGACGAAGCUAGAAACCCUUUAACCCACAAUAUCCAUUUGUCAUGAAAACCCAACCUCCGCAGCAUAUCAAGCAAAAAACUCCACCUUGCAGAAUCAUACGCCUUUUCAAAGUCCACUUUGAAACAUACCCCACUCUUCGUCUUCCUCCUAGUUUCCUCGAGAACUUCGUUUGCCAUAACAACGUUGUCCUUAAGUCCUUUGUCGCUUAGGAAAGCUGACUAGAAAUCGUCAAUGAUCAAAGGCAUGAUUUUCUUCAUACAACAUGACAGGAUUUUGGUAAUGAUCUUAUAGAUAACUCCAACAAGUGAUAUGGGUCUGCACUGAUCAAGCAAAGAAGGGUCCAUUUACCUUGGGAACAAGAGCAAUGAAGGACGCAUUACAACCUUUUGGGAAUGACCCUGUAACAUGAAAAAAAUUCAUAGUUGCCAUUACGUUUGAUUUAAUCACAUCCCAACAGCUCUGAAUGAAAUUAAAGUUGAACCCGUCCGGGCCUGGGCUCUUUGACCCUCCACAUUGCCACACAACGUCUUUCACUUCUUCCUCAGAGAAGCUAACGAUCAUAUUCCUACUCACCUCCAAGGUAAGGGAUUUCAACUCCAUUGAUCCCAGAUUUACACCCACGUCCUGUGUAGCCAUGAACCUCUUUUCAACAGCAAUUUUGCUUCCCUACGUACUAUUUGCGGAUCCUCACACCUUUGGGAAUCCACCUCUACACCUUUGACCUCAUUCUUAAGUCUUCUUCAUCUAAUUCCACUGUGGAAGAAUUUAGAGUUCAUGUCUCCGUGCUUGAUCCAAUUCACUCUUGCUUUUUGUCAGUAGAUUGAAUCUAACUUUUUGUCAACCAUCCCCAAUUGACUGAGCAGUUCCAUCCUUCUCAUCCUCUCGUUUUCCUCUAAACCUUCAUCGUCAUCCUUUCCAUCCAGCUCCUCAAUUUCGGAUAGAAUACGUCUUUUAUUAGAUUCCACACAGCCAAAAACAUUUCUGUUCCACUCUUUAAGAUCAGCCUUCAAGAAUUUCAGCUUAUCUUUGAGAAUGGACAUGCUAUUACCUUGCACCUCAUACGAAUCCCAAUUGUCCUUUACCAUAGCCUUAAAGCCCGGUUCCUUAAGCCACACAUCAAAGGAUCUGAAUGGUUUAGGACCCCAAUCUUUAACACACAAUUUCAAUACUAGAGCACAAUGACGUUUUGCUUUAAGAUGAUACCCCACAAUUGCGAUAAAACCAGUUCCUACUAUGUGGUUGCCAUAAGAAAAGGCUUCUUUAUGCCACAUUGUUACUACGCUCCCUGCCCCAUUAAUCCCUUCAUUAAGAACCCAACUGAAAACAGUCGUUUUGCUAUCAAAUUAAUACGAUUCAAGCGUAGACUUGUCCAAUGUUUGAAAGAUGAUAAUAUAAAAGUGGUCAGAUCACCCAAGUCGUCUCCCAAAGAAUCCAAUAGUGAGUCCAGUGAACAAAAUUCAAAACUUAUCUGUAAGCAAUAAGGAUUAGCAACAACAAUAAUAAUAAAAGGGAAUUGUGAUUGUUAAGCAAGAAAAUAUAGAUGAUGAUUUAAAACAGUAAAGAAUGCAAGUUGACUCCCAAGUUAUUCCACCAUUGAAUUCCUCACAGGUUCUCUAAAGAUUAUUCCUUUCUUAAUCCUCAAACAAAGCUAAAACAAAUUGAACAUGCACCAAUCUAAUUCAACUGAAACUCACCAAUAAAGAAUGCGUCUACUAAUUUAAUCAAUACCCACUUUGUUCCAUGCUUAUACUCCAUGGGAAUGCUUAUUUCCUCUCUCUUGAAUCAAGCGCCCAAGAAAUUAAUUAGAACAACGCGAACUAACUAAGAAACCAAAGUUUAAGGUAAGGAAGACUCUCAAUCAUGCGUUCAAGUACAACCUCUCACAAAAACCAGUUUUCCAGGAGAUUAGACUAUUAAAACAAUUGCUAUAGAGAAUUUAAAAAAAUGAAACUUUUAUUAACCAAAACCUCAUAACUCAAUGGGGAAUUACAAGGUAAUCAACCAAAAUGGUUUAGCCUUUCAUGCGGAAGCAAAACAAAAGUAUUAUUAAGAAGAAAAGAAAACUAGGUCUAGAAUGUGUUUGCUCCUCUAAAAUGCGAUCCAAAAAGCCCUUUCUUCCUUCCCUUGAAGUCUCUUUUAUAAUCUUUUUUUCCUUGCACCAAAUCAGAUUAAAAUCUGCCUUAUGAUAUUGUUUUACAAUUAUCAAAUGUUUUCUUUCCUGUUUCAAAUUAUUAAACAUAUAUCUUCAUUCCCAAAUAGUCUCAUAUUUUAUUCUUGUUUUUCUCCCAAAAAUAUUAUUUCCAAUUUUCUUCAAAUUUAUGCAUUGAUUGUAAUUGAUUCCAACAUUGAUGUGAGAGAUAUUGCAGAAUAUUUUCUCGAAUAAUAUCUUCAAAGUAUAUUUUCUCUAUUUUUGAAGGAUUUUGCGGAGGAAUUUUAAUUGUAGAAGUUGUAGAGAAUAUCCUGGCAGAAAUUUGCAUUCAAUUCCUUUUCUCAAAUAUUUGCAUAUUUAAUUCUCUAAUUCUUUAUAUCAGAUAUUCUUUCCUGUUUUGAUCCAAAAGAAGUAACUUAGGUUAAAUAUACAAAAUUAACAGAAAUAAUAAUAAAGGACCAAAUAAACUCAAUUAUAUGAAUCUGAAUUAAAACAAUGAAUUUAUUUAUUAUUAUAGUCCAAUAAUCUAUGAUUAACGAGUAACAUCUAACGUCUAUAAAUGAUGAAGUUUUCGUUUCCUGCAAACAAAGAAAUUCAGCACCCUCCUUUGACACAAUAUAGUUCAGAUACCGUGCUUUCACCCCCUCCCAAACCUCUAAUGUUGAGGUUGACAAUUAUCAUGGUAACUCCUUUAAUCUUCCCACCCGAGACCCCUUUUUGACAUCAUUGUCCCUUACCUCCAUACAGUCCAAUUCUCCAACCACGUUCCCCUCUUCCCCUAAACAUUGCACACCUAGGUUUUGACCCAAAUCCCAUAUUCAACAACCUUUUCUUCAUUCUUAAGCUGAUUAUUACACAGGUUAAUGUUGGUAGACGAUUCUGCGAAGGAGCAAUGACUUAACAUGGAAGAAGAGUUUACCCCUUGGUGAAGGGAUCCAACACCCCCAUUUGAUCUCCAUUUCGGUUGAGCGAUUGGCAAAACGUGAUCCCGCAGCCUACGAAUUUCCGAUGAGGUUUUACUGGCCAUUUCCAUCCGAACUGAUACCUUCGGCGCAUCGAUUGACCCUUCUGCAUUCACCUCCUUACUCCGCCUAGAUUUUUCAUUGGAUUGUGGGUCUGAACUACCCGACAAUGAGCCCUCUUCCUUGCUACAUUGAUGAAUUGCACAACAUGGGUACACACCGGAGUCGGACUCUAGCGGCUUCCUCGCUCUUAGGUGCUCACUAUAACCAACCUCCCUCGAUCGUAUGUUGGUUAAUGGGGAGGACGACAUGGCUACGAACUGUUCUGUUGCACAACGUUGUUCAACUGCUUUCCCAUUACUUCCCGUGAUUGGGCCCCCCGCACUUGCUUCUUUACUAAACGCACCUCUCUUUUCUACUUGGGUUGCACCUUGCUUAGGCCCAAUAGAAAUGGAAUUACACACCUGAACCCCUUCCAUUAGGUUAAACAGUGAUUGUUGGAUCACCUUACAUGCAUCUUUGACUUGGUUUGCAACAAAUAAAGUUUCCCCUCCUUCAGACACACCUUGCACAUGUUUUACCUCAUUUGUGAAAGAAAAAUCACCUUUAAUCUGACACCCCUUAUCACUUUGAGCCCUUUCCUCCAAAAGCUCCCAUUUUGUCUCAACCAAGGGUUGGAUCUGCUCUUCCACCUCGGGUACCGCGUUUCGCCGCAAACCACCGUGAUUGUAGUCAUCUCCUUCCUCGAUUGACCUCCCAGAGAAGAAGGUUUCCUCCACUACAGUUUCUGAUGAUGAAAUACUAUCAGACGAAGCAAAGUGAUCUUGAAUGCAUGUACAUUCUCCUCUCUCUUGGUUGAAUACCUCCUCUACAAUGGUUACGUUAUAAACUUUUCCAUUUAUCCUAAGACUCUUCAUCAUUUCCGCUUUACAAGAUUUAAGCAACCGCACUUGCAGACGAGCAUACUCCAGAUUUUCCCACGACAGGGUUGAUUCAUCAACUUCUACCAAGGAUGCUACUUCUCUAACCACUUUCGAAAAACAAUCUUUAUUCCAUAAUGGUAGUGGUAGUCCAUGACACCUAACCCAGACAGUUUUAUAGCCUGCAACAUAUGAUUCGGUCCAAGGUUCAAUAGUUUCUAACAGAGAACCAAACCAUUCAUUAUUGAGCUUAAUGAUUUCUUCCAAUCGUUCUCCAUAGUUUGGUGUUAAGAGGACUAGGUUAUCUCCCAUAUAUCUCAGUUUGACCCUGCUCAUACCCCCUUUAACAAACUCUUCCCUCAAGGUUUUAAAGGAGACUUCCGGGGACAUCCUUCCAACUGCAUUGAUUACCAGCCAAGACGGGGUGUUUGACGUUGUUUCGAUGAUAGGGCCUUUCCAUAGAUCCUGGGAUGAUUUAUGAACCGCUUCAGCAUAAGAGAGUUUAGGUUGCAGGUUAUUGCCCCUUCGGUUAGAUCUACUAGAGUUUUCACGCCAUACCACCUUGUCCUUCAGUUUCAUCUUACCCCGCAGGCUGCUAGCACGACUAUAUUAAUUUCAAACAGAUUUUGUCUUCUCAUACUUCUUUUCAUCCUCUGCUCUCCUAUAUUUUGGGAGGUUGACAUGUAGUUUGAGACUACCAAUAUAAAUCUGGUCUAACUACUUCUCCAGUCUAACUUCAUUUGAAAUAGGAAAAACUCUGACAAAUCCAAACCUCCUUCCCCACCUAUUCAGACGCCUGGAAAUGAAAACUUCUUUCACUCUGGCCCAUGUUUGGAAUAUCCUAAACAUAUCGUACUCUCCAUGAAUGUCUGGAAAAUUUGAAAGGAAAAACGUAGAGGAGUGUUCUACCCAUGAAUUCUUUGUCGGUGUAGCUACCUUAUUAUUUGCCUCUCUGCUCCGAAGUUCUUCUUCCCUCUUCCAUCUCCAUCGUCCCUCCUUAACCCUAUCUUUCUCUUGCCAUUUCAGUAACGCCAUCGUCGAAUGAAAAUUAUUUAUAUUUUAAAUAUACAUAUGAGUCCUUCAAUUUUGACAGAAUAUUUAUUUGAUUGAGAUGUGAAUAAAUAUCUAACUUCUUUUUAAAUUUGGUAUAUAACUUAUUAAUAUAGAUAGAUAAAAGUAUAAUUUGUCAAAAAAAUAAUAAAAUUCAAAAUUCUAUACACUUCAAGUAAAAAAAUGGGAUGUGUAUAUCUUUUUAUAUCAGUAUUGUAUAAUGAAACUAAAAUUUAUCUUAUAUUUGUAAAUCUUAAUUAUAUGUAAAUGUUUAAAGGUGUUUAAAAAUGAGGAGUGUUUAAAAAGAGUGUUGAUGUGUCAAAUUUUAUAGACGACGUUUAAUGCAUGCUUGGAUAUUUCUCUUUUUGUUUCCUAGGUUUCGUAUGAAUGAGUUCUUUCUUUCACUUUCUGCAUGAACAAACAAGCAAUUAACCAUUUUUUCUUUUUCUUCUUUUUCAUCUAUUUCAAGGACAAAAUGUUUAUAUUAGUCUAUAACAAUCUUUUAAAGUUUGAUGAAGUAAAAACUUUGUACAUGCAACUCAACUUGUGAUCUAUAAGCCAAUUUAUAGUUGAAGUUACUCUAUUUAUUAUUGAUUUAGUUUAAGUGUAUUUAUAUUUGCUUACUGUACCGACCAGUCCUCGGGCAUCGUUGACCACUGGUGAUAUUGUGGCCACGUAAGCGGGGUCCUACGAGCAACGUAGGCCAAUAUCUCGCGAAGCACGUGCAACAAGGAACCAAAGAUGGUCAGCCAUCGGUCACCAGGAUGUACUGACGUGCCGCUAGACAGUGUGGAGAGGUCAGACAUCGAGAUCCGAACAGCAGAGCUGGGCUACGAGAGGUGGAUCCCAAACCCCACACCAAUUAUCAGUAAGGGAAGAGCCUAGGUCACGAGAGUCCAUGCGUGUGGAGUGGAUGAUGCGUUCAGGCGUAACACGAGUAUAAAGUCACUGGAAAGGAUACGACCUUCAAGGUCCAUGUUCCAGGGACGAGCUACAUGCAUGGCACGUGACAGCUAGGGCGCUCCUAAGGCGGGUGACCCCAGAGAUCAGGUGCACGAAGAGGCAUCCAGGUGGUCACCCCAUCAGAGGUUGCACUCCAGUUAGGGAAUCCACGCGCUAGGUUAUCCUAAGAGUAGGUAACGACAGUGCUGGGCCCACCCCCUCAGAAAGCCCAUUUUGGGUAAAUAGGAAACCCUAGUUUCAGUUUAUAUAAAGGAAAGCAACAAACUUAGCAAGGUACACUAUUUUUAUGCGUGAGAGUGACGUAGACGCACAAAGGCAUAUUUAGUCAACUGCCAGAACACUUACUGCAUUCAAUUUUUCUCACUUAGUUUAUUUUGAACUAGACAUGAAUGAGUAAAGAAUCUUCAAUCCCUUUCAUGUCAAACCUUUUCUUUACAAUUAAAUAGAUUGAUAGAGUGGAAAGUUGGUUCACCUCUUCUUAUAGAUAAAUCAAAUACUCCAACAAAUUAGGAGUUUAGCUACUUUGUGAAAAAAAUUAUAAACUUAACUUAUAUUAUAAAAAUAUUGUUGUUAUUAUUUGUCUAUAAUAUUAAAUAUUAUUAAAUAUUUUUUUUUAAAUUGUAAGAAUAUAUUUAUUAAAAGUAAUUAUAAAAUAAAUAAUUUUUUUAAUUUUAUUGUAGAUAAUUUUUAUUGUGAGUAGUUAUUUAAAUUUAAAAAAAAGAUUAUUUAAAGAAUAAAAUUAUAUAAACAAAAGAUAUGUAUAUGUUGUUAUAUUGUUAUAGAAUAUGUUUUAUUAUUCUUUUGUUUAUAUCAGAACGUAAUUUCCGAUGGACCUCUAUUAUAUUCUCAUUCAUCUUUCAUUGAAUUUGGAACUCAUCUUUUAUUGUAUUCACACCUUAUAAUUUAUUUACACACAUUUAAAUAAUAAUAUAAGUUGAUGAUAUUUCUUUUAUGUUCCUUGACUUUUUCUUCAAAUAAUAGAUAUUCGAGUACCAUAUACAGAACACAAAUCACCAUUACAUAUUAGUUUGACUUUUUAGACAGUAUAAACUAGCCAGUCUAGUUUAUAAAAUUGAUGUCACUAUCAGUCCUGCAUCUUUCUAAGUUGUUUCAUACCUAGUCCUACUAAUCCAAAAAAAGAAAAAUAGAUGUAUACUUGCAACCACUUAUUGAUGACCUCCAACAAUUAUGGAGUGAGGGUGUCUUCACUUAUGACAUGUCAACAAAAGAGAACUUCAUCAUGCGAGCUUGUUUGAUGUGGACAAUGAUUUUUCAGCAUAUGCGAUGUUGUCUGGGUGGGGGACCAAAGGGAAAUUAGUUUGUCCUCAUUGUAUGGAGGACACAAAAGCAUUCAUACUAAAAACAUGAAAGUAUAGGAGUUGUUGGUUUGACUGUCAUCGACGAUUUUUGCCACCCAAUCAUCUUUUCAGGAGGAGUAAGAGGAGAUUCAUAAAAAACAGAGAUAAAAUGGAUGUCCUACCUUAUUUCUUAAACAUAAAUCAAUUAUCAAAGUUUAUUCCUGACUUUCUAAAAUUGACAGAUGGUCCAUUUGACACUUUGCCUGGGUAUGAAGAAUAUCAUAAUUGGAACAAAAGAGCAAUAUUUUGGGAUUUGGCAUAUUGGAAGGACAAUUUGUUAAGACACAACCUUGAUGUUAUGCACAUAGAAUUUUUUUUUUUAUAAUGUCUUCAACACUGUAAUGGACAUUAAGGGUAAAACAAAGGACAAAUAAAAGGUCGAAAUGGAUGUUGCUGAAUUGUGUGGCUGUGGAGACGUGAAGUUGGUUCAAUUACAAAAUGGAAAGUUAGCAAAGUCAAAGACCAACUACACAUUCUCAAAUAAAGAUGUUAAGUCAAUUUAUAAAUGGAUUAGUGAGUUGAAGAUGCCAGAUGAUUAUGCCUCUAACAUUGCAAGGUGUGAAAACCAAGACAAGGGAAAUAUGCAUGACAUGGAAAGUCGUGAAUAUCACGUUUCAUGGAGUGCCCUUGUUGGCUUAAGUCGAUUCUUUAAAGACAUAUGUUCUAAUACAUUGAGGAUGAAUAAUCUUGUCAAAAUGGAAUAAAACAUACCAAUCAUCGUAUGUAAGUUAGAAAGAAUAUUUCCACCAACUUUCUUUGAUUCAAUGGAACACUAUGUCAUUCAUCAUCCUAUGGAAGAAACACUUGGUUGUCCUAUCCAGUACCAAUAGAUGUAUCCUUUUGAAAGGUAUACAUUAUCUUAAUUAUUUCAAUGUUUAACAAGGUGUGCAGAACAUAUCUGCUUUACUUUAAGAUGAUGGGAAAUGCAAAGAGAUCGGUGGGUAAUUUGGCACGGGUAGAUCGAUCUAUAUGUGCAUUCUACCUACACCGAGAGAUAACAUAUUUAUGCUCUCAUUAUUUCACAAUGUCUCAGCUUGUUGUCAAAUAAAAGUUUGAGAAAUUAUCCUUAAACAAAUUCAAAUGAGGAAGUCCAAUACACAAUGUCAGUUUUGAAUAAAUAUGGACGUUUAAGUGGUUCUAACAAAAACUAUUGGUUCAGUGAUAAAGAACACGUUCUUCCCAUAUUCAUAUUCUCAUCAAUUGCAAUGAGGUCAAAGUCUUCCUUGAGUAAGUUUAAGUGUACAUAAUUUGAAUUAAAUUAUUGUAGGUUGUGUAGUUUGUUAGCUACUUUAAUAAUAUUUAAAGUUUGUUCUUACAAUUUGAUCAAUCAAUGACAAAGACGCUUCAAGUUUGAUCAAGUAACAUUUUAAUGAAAUAGUCUAAACACUAUUCAGUUGUGCGCCAAUUGGCUCUAGCACCCAAAAGCCUUAUGGCUAUCGAUAAUUUAGACUCAGUUGCUCCAUCAUAAAUGGAUUGAUUUGCAAAUAUUGACAUAUCAUAAAACUUUUGCGCUUUUGCAUUAGCUUGUUGUUCUUCAUUUUCGAUAUGAUUGUCCAAGUUCUUAUAACGACUUCUUAUAUCAAUUUCUUACAUGUAUGCAUUGUUCACCAUUUCUAUUAAUGAUCCCGAAGUCAUCAUUAUGCCUGAUGUUAUCAUAACUGGUGGAUGCAAUGUUUAAAUUAAGAAUUAAUUACCUUAUUCAUCCCUACAUUUAGGGUCAAUAUUCAAUUUAGUACAGUGGUUUUUUAAAAAAUCAAUUUGGUUCCUAUGUUUUUUAAAAUGUAUCCAAAUUGGUCCUUUCCGUUAAGUCCAAACUUAUGGCGUCAAGUGAUACUUAUGUGACAGAGAGGGGUGUUUAAGUGGCAGAGAGAGGUAUUUAUGCCUUAGUUGUGUUCCCAUCCACGUGGCAAUCAUGAGGUCUAAAUAAUUUUAUUGUAAUAAUGUAUUAAUAAUUUAAUUAAAAGAUAAGAAAAUACAAUUAAUCUAAUGAAUCGUGAAAGGUUUACUUAUUUAUGAUGAAUUGUCAAUAAUUAAUGUUUUUUCUCAUUUAUUAUCCAUUCAUAUUAUGAGGAAACAAUCGGUUGUUUUUUUGCAGCUUUUAGACAGAUUGAGUUUUUCAAGUAUUAACAGAGAAUGAUUCAAAAACAGAUGUAAUUAUUCAGAGAAAGAGUUUUUAAGCAUGAAAUAGUAAUUAACAAAUCAAAGGCAGAGUUAAGAAAGGUCUUAUCCUUUUAUGAGGUCCCUUCUAUGAGUAAUUUGUUUGUGAUCAAGAAGCUUCUUUUGACUUUUGAAAAGACUUGGACUGGUACAUAACAUUGAUUCAGUUCCAGUGUUAAUCUCUUCCUUCCAAGAACAUGAUCAGAUGACUAUAGCCUCAUUUUCUUCUAGAUUCCCUGCAUAAACACGAAUUCAAGCAACAAGGUUUGGUCCCCUUACAAAUGUGAGUCCAUUUGAUUUAUUUUUAUCAUUUGAAACCUCACAACCUUUGGGAAUCCAUUUCAUAAAACCUCUGGGAACAGAAUAUUUCCUUAUUUUGCAUAAUCAGACAGAAUGGCCUUUCUUCAUGCAAUAAAAGCAUGUAACAAUCGGUUGUUUCGACUUAACAAUCGGUUGUUUUACUGGCAGUUUUGAAAAAUUCUUUGAAAAGUUAUCUUGCUUGUUCUGUGGAUUAAAACCUAAUCCAGCUCUUCCAAAAACACAAUUUUGAGAUGUCAAGACAUUCUCAAAGUUGGAUUUUCCUUUUGAAAGCUUAUCCACAGUACUAACAAGAUAGUGUACUUUCUUUUCAAGAUUUUCACAAUUUUCACAAAUGAGAGUGUCACACUUGCAAGAAGAGUUUUUGCAAUGAUUAUCCAGAUUUUCAAAAUCACUUUUUGAUUUUUCCAGCUUUUCUUCAAGUGCCUUAACUCUAUUUUCAAGCCAGUUGUUAAGCCCUUUCAAACGAUUGUUUGAGAGAACCAAUCGGUUAGCUUCUUCAUGUGUUUCUUGAAAAGCUUCAAGCAAUUUACUAUAAUUUUCAACAUUUAGGGAAGCACAUGAACUUACAUCACUUGAGCUACAUGAUUCAUCAUCUCCUUCUACAAUCAAGCAUAUGUUUGCUUUUUCUUCUUCACUUGAUGAUGAGCUUGAUGAGGAGACUUCAUUCUCAUUCCAAGCUAUGUAUGCUCUUCUUGACUUUCCCUUUUUCUCCUUGUGGCUUGAUUUCUUUUCAUUGCUUUCUUUGUUUUGGCAAUCUGCUUUAAUGUGCCCUUGUUCACCACAACCAAAGCAAGUAUAGUUGUUAGAAUUGAAAUCACUAGUUUUCUUAUUGCCAUACCUUUCUUUGUUGGCUUCUUUGUUGCGAUUUCUCUUCAAAAAUCUACUAAACUUCUUGGACAACAAACUAAGGUUUUCUUCUUCACUUUCAUCACUUGAUUCUUGCCUGCUUUUGUUCUUGGCAGCUUUCAAGGCAAUGCUUCUCACAUGCUUGUAUUCACUUUCUUGAACAUUGAGUCUAUUCAUUUCUAACUCAUGUUCUCUAAGCUUACCAAAUAAAGAAGCCGUUGUCAAGGAUGUUAAAUCUUUUGACUCAAAAGUUGUUGUCACCUUUGUUUGCCAUGAUCUAUCAAGACACUUAAGGAUCUUGAUGUUUAUCUCUUCUUUAUCAAAGGUUUUCCCAAGGCUCAAAAGGUGGUUGAUGAUGUGGGUGAACCUUUUUUGUACUUCAGCAAUUGACUCACCUUUAAGCAUUCUAAACAUUUCAUAUUCCUGAAUUAGAGUAAGCUUUCUAGCUCUCUUCACAUCAUUGGUUCCUUCAUGAGUCACCUCCAAAGUGUCCCACAUCUCCUUGGCCGAAGAGCAUUGAGAAAUCCUGAAAAAGUCAUCCAAAUUCAAGGCAGAUGUUCUGAUGUUCUUAGCGAUACAAUCAAAUUUGGCCUUCUUGUUUUCAGAAUCAGUCCAUUGAGACCAAGGUUUUUCAAUGGAAGAUCCAUCUUUUUCAAAUUUUGGAAUAAAAGGACCAUUUUCAAUUGCAUCCCAAAUUCCUUUGUCAAGGGAUUCAACAAAGAUUUUCAUCCUAACUUUCCAGAAUUGGUAAUUCAAACCACAGAAAAGAGGUGGUCUGUUGAUUGAUGCACCCUCUCCAAAAGGUAGUUUUUCAGCCAUUGGAAAAAGGUUUUAGGAUCAAACUUGAGUAUUUUUCAAGUACCAAGCUCUUGAUGCCUAUUGUUAGAAUGAAUGGCUUUAAACUAGAGGGGGGGUGAAUGGUUUAAAGAGGUUUUUCGCAAACUUUUUAAGAUAGAAUGAAAUUCUUUGCAAGAAACCAGAUUUAGGAAUUCAGUUUACCAAGAACAAAGCUCAAAACAGAAAAACAAUCAGUUAUUUCGCAGAAACAAUCAGAUGUUUAUACCAGUAAUAUAACAGCAACUGAAAUUAAAGAGUUUAAGGAAAAGAGAAUUGCACAAACAGUUUAUACUAGUUCACUCUUAACCCAAGAGCUACAUCCAGUUUCCCAGAAACCACUAGGGAAUCCACUAGGUAAUCAAAACCAUAUUACAUACACACACCACCAAAGAAGUGACCUUGAUCCCCUCAAGACACACACUUCCUUUGGCUCAGCACAUACACCACCAAGAAUGUUGAUCUUGACAACCUUAAGAGCACACAACCCUUCUUGGCUUUACAACACCAGAAUGUACACAAAUCACAGAAUGAAUUACACUGUUACAGAAUCAAGUGAAAUCAAUACAGAGUAAUCCUAUUCCACUUCUCUCUUGAAUAACCAAAGCUCAAGUUCAAACUCAAAUGCUUCAAAAAAAUCUUUGAAAAACUCAAAUCUGUUUUUCUUUCUUGUUAUUUGUUAUAAAACAUUAACAAACUAUUUAUAGUAUUCAAAUCUUGGUCAAAGCAUUUAAAGCAUGAGCAUAUUCAGUUAUGAAAUCAAUUAAAGCUCUUUUAACAAACAAAAUUGUUUCUGUUAGGAUUCCAAACAAACAAUCGGUCCAAAUAAACUCCCUGUUCUCCUCUUUCUCUCACUCCCUCUCCCUCUCCUCCUCCACAACCUCCUCAUCCUCCCUCAGCAUCUCUCUCGCCACCUUCAAUACCUCAGCCACCUCCCCACUUUUCACCCCCUUCCUUGCCUCCCUCCUCACUUCGUCUAACCUCCUCCACUCCUCCGCCACCUCCCGCAUCGCCUCCUCCGUCGGGCCCUCCAGCCGCUCCAGCACACCAUCUUCUUGAUCACGGUAACCAUAAUAACUCGCAUCAAUUCGCUUAUAAAUGUCAUACCGUGUGUGCAACUUGCGGAGCUUUGGGGCUUCUCGGAAAGCUCCUUUACCAGAAGCUUCUUCACUACGCCGAAGUAGCGGUAGUUAGGGCCACGGUCGCCUAGGUUGGGGUGUAAGAAAUUAUGUAAAUUAAUUUCUAUAAAGUGAGUCACAUGACUUUGAGUUUGGGUUGUGGGUCCAAAUAUAAUUUAAUAAUAAUAAUAGAAUUAAAGGGCCCACUGGUUAACAUGAGAAAUAUAUAUCUGAUGAUACCUAAUGAAAACCUACAUUUGAUGCAAAUAAUAAUUGUCUCACUGUUAACCAUCACGAAAGUGUGUGACAAGAAAGGAAUUUCUAAGAGAUAGAUUGGGACAAAGGGAGAUAAAGUAAUUGCUCAAGUAGGAUCACUCAUGGAUCAAGGUAAAUGCCUAUUCCUUCUUGAUUGUAUGGAUAUAUGUGAGAAUCAUGAUAUGAUAAGAUCUAUAUGUGAACAUUAUUGUAUGUGUUCAAUUGUACGUUUAUUCAUGUUUUAAUUUACAUGUGGUAUCAAAGCCUGGUUGCUCAUUUUGUGAUUCUCCAUUAAUGUUUUUCCAUAAUUUUAAGAACCCUAAUUUUGUUCCCAAUUUAAUUAAUCCCAAUUGAAGAACCCUAAUUUUAAAAUUAGGGUUUAUGGAUUAAAGUUUCCAUUCCUCAAUAACAGAACCUAAUCUGCACCUAACGCAUUAACGGCGUUUACACCCUGUACCCGAACCCAUUAUCGGAGUCGCUGUCAGCGCAAAACCGCAAGACACCGUCGCUCGUGGAACCUCUCUCAUUGUCGGCGCGCACCUCUCCGUCACCACCCAUAUUUGCAGCCGACAACGUAGGUGGUCACGACCUGGUUGUCAUCAAGGAACAGAGUGGUUCGUGCGGUGAUCGUGGAUCUGUAAGGAUUGAGUUGAGCCCAGGGUGCGUUGAACGUGGCUUAGGGCGCGGCGACAUUGGAGUUGAAGUCUGGUGCGGCGCGGUGGUUCGCGCGAUUUUUCGCACAGUGGCCGGCGUGAUGGUUCGUGGCUAGAGGCGCGGUGGUGGUCUCCCUGAACGGCCUGGUGCGGCGUUGGGGUUGAAGAGGGAAAGUGAACCCUUUACGCUAAUGCAGAAACAUAUGCUUUUGGUUGCAUGAUUGUCUUCCAAAAGAAUGGUUCUAGGUUUGCAAUACAGUGAAUGAUGGUGCGCUUGGCUCAUGCAUGUAUGAAUUAAUUCGCCACACCUUAUGUCAUCAGUUUUUUUUUUUUUUUUUUUGGAAGUAUCAGCCUUGGCGUGGAUGAUGCAAUAUAAUAUAAUUAAAUCCAUGUAUGAAUUAUCUUCACCUUACGUUAUUAAUUCCCUCAACUUUACGUUAUCAAUUUUAUUAAUGUUUUUAAAGUCCUUUCCAAAUUUUAUUAUAUUAUAAUAUAAAAUAAUGAAAUGCAUUUAUGAAAAGAAUUCAAUUAAUGAAACACAUGAAUUCAUUCAUGCACUUUACGUCAUUUAUUUUAUUAAUGAUUUUAUCAAAUUUUAAUUAAAGUUUUAUUAUGUUAUAAUGUAAUUUAAUUUGCAUUAUAUUAAAGUUUAAUUAAUUGAUUGAAAGUCAGGAAUGAAAAAUUAUUUUUCCGCUUUAUGCAUUCAAUUUUGAAUUGAAAUUUUGGAAUUAUUUGUAUGAUAGAUUUGUAAUCACCAAAGUGAUCAAAUCUUUAUGUUUUUUUUAAUUCCAAAUUAUGGAUGAAUUUUAUUCCAGUUAAUGAUAUAAUUUCUGAAAUUAUUUGUAUGAUAGAUUUGUUAAUCACCGAAGUGAUCAAAUCUUUAAGUUUUAUUUAAUUUCAAAUUACUAAUAAAUUUUAUUUCAAUUACCUAUAGAAUGGAUGCUAAAUUAUUUAAAUAUGGAUAAAUGGAAAUUCAUUAUUAUAAGACAUCUUUUGAUCACCUAAAGGUUGAUUAGUUGUCCUUAUAAUUAAUGAAUAUGAUUGUUGGUAGUGAGUAUGUGUUAUUAGUUUUGCUUGUAUAUCCAAAGAUAACAAGUGUUUCUAGUUAAUGCAUAUAUCUUGCCAAAUAAAGUUAAUACUAUUAGCAUCAUUAUAUUUUGUGUAUUAAUGAAUCUCCCAAAGGAGAACAUUAGUAUACAUAGAAUGUUUUCUGAAUCUGUAUUGUAUGUUUAGUUUAUGACUCGAAGUAUUAAUGUUAAGCAUGUGUGAUUGCAGUAUCUGUUCAUGUAGCCUUACAUUCGCAAGCUAUGUUUGUUCCAAUCUUUAAUGGUCUAAAUUUUUCUCACUGGAGUGAAAAAGUUCAAUUUCACUUAGGUGUAUUGGAUCUUGAUUUGGCCAUUCGAAUCGAGAAACCUGCUGCUAUUUCUGAUGAUAGUAGAAAUGAGGAGAAAGCUCAUUAUAGGGCUUGGAAAAAGUCAAAUAGACUUAGCCUGAUGUUUAUGUGAAUGAGCAUAGCAAACAAUAUUAAGUCUGCUCUUCCCAAAACUGAGAAUGCAAAAGAGUUUAUGAAAUUUGUGGAAAAGCGCUCCGAAAAAGAUGAUAAGUCUCUUGCAGAGACAUUAAUGAGUACAUCAACCACCAUGAAUGCUUAUUAUGUAUGUUUUGAAUCAAACUUAAUUAAAGUUCCACAUAAUUCUUGGUGGAUUGAUUCUGGAUGCACAACUCAUGUUUCUAACAUGAUGCAAUGAUUCCUUUCAACCCGAACCAUAAAGCCAAAUGAAAAGUUUGUCUUCAUGGGAAAUAGAGAGAAGGUUCUAGUGGAAGUAGUCGAGACUUAUCGUUUAAUCCUCGACACAGAAUUUUAUUUAGACUUGAUGGAUACUUUUUAUGUACCUAGUAUAUCUAGGAAUUUAGUUUCAUUGUCUAAACUUGAUGUUGUCAGAUACUCUUUUAAAUUUGGGAAUGGAUGUUUCAGUAUAUAUCAGCGUACCUAUUUGAUUGGAUCGAGUACUCUUUAUGAUGGAUUAUAUAGAUUGAAUCUUGAUAAUUUAUAUGUUUUUUUGUGGCACAAACGUUUGGGACAUAUUUCCAAAGAAUGGAUGGAAAGAUUAGUAAAGAAUGAAAUACUUCCAAGUUUGGAUUUUACUGAUCUGAAUGUAUGUGUGGAUUGCAUUAAAGGCAAACAAACAAAACACACAAAUAAGGGAGUCACAAGAAGUACUCAGCUUCUUGAAAUUAUACACACUAAUAUAUGUGGACCUUUUGAUGUAAAUUCUUUCAAUAAAGAAAGGUAUUUUAUCACCUUUAUUGAUGAUUUUUCACGUUAUGGUUAUGUUUAUUCACUACAUGAAAAAUAUCAAGCAGUGAAUGCCUUGGAAGUUUAUGUAAAUGAAGUGGAAAGGCAAUUAGACAGAAAGGUGAAAAUUGCCAGGUCAGAUAGAGGUGGUGAAUAUUACAGAAAGUAUGAUGGAAGUGAACAACAUCCUGGUCUGUUUGCUAAGUUCCUUGAGAGACGUGGUAUUUGUGCUCAAUACACAAUGUCAGGUACACCAAAACAAAAUGGUGUUUCAGAAAGGCGUAAUCAAACCUUAAUGGAUAUGGUUAGGAGCAUGUUAAGUAAGUCAACUGUAUUUGUUUCAUUGUGGAUGUAUGCUUUAAAAACUGCCAUGUAUCUGUUGAACAGGGUUCCUAGUAAGGCAGUUCAAAAUACACCUUUUGAAUUGUGGACAUGAAGGAAACCCAGUUUGAGACACCAGUAUGUUUGGGGAUGUCAGGUAGAAGUUAUAAUAUACAACCCACAAGAAAAGGAAUUGGAUGCAAGAAUAAUCAGUGGAUACUUCAUUGGUUAUCCAGCAAAGCCAAAAGGGUAUAUGUUUUACUGUCCUACCCAUAGCAAAAGAAUUGUAGAAUCUGUAAAUGCACGGUUCAUUGAAAAUGGUGAAACCAGUGGGAGUGAUACUUCACGAAAUGUGGAGAUUAAGGAAGUCAGAGUACAAGUUCCUUUGACUAGUACUUCAACUUCAAGUAUUGUUGUUCCUAAUGUAGUUGAACCACUCAACGAUGAUGAAGAACAACAAAUUAAUGAUCACGAGGUUAACAAUGAACCUGUAGUAGAACAACCACAAGAAAUAGAAUUAAAAAGAUCUCAAAGAGAAAGAAGGUCAUCUAUUUCGAAUGAUUAUGUGGUUUAUCUAAAAGGGUCAGAAAAUGACUCAAGUAUUGAUAAUGAUCCAAUUUCAUUUUCAGACGCCAUCAAUGAUGAUAAUUCUUAUAAGUGGUUAGAUGCCAUGAAAGAUGAGCUUAAAUCAAUGACACAAAAUGAUGUAUGGGACCUUAUAGAAUUAUAAAUGGGUGUAAAUGGGUCUUUAAGACUAAGUGUGACUUUCGUGGCAAUAUCGAACGUUACAAGGCCCGACUUGUUGCUAAAGGUUUUACUCAAAAGGAUGACAUUGAUUAUAAGGAAACAUUUUCACUUGUUUCUAAGAAAGAUUCCUUUAGAAUUAUCAUGACGUUAGUAGCUCAUUAUGAUCUUGAGUUGCAUUAGAUGGAUGUCAAAACUACCUUUUUGAAUGGGGAUUUAGAAAAGGAUGUUUAUCUGGACCAACUAGUGAGGUUUAUUGAAGAAGGAAAGGAACACAUGGUGUGUAAACUUAAGAAAUCAAUAUACAGGCUUAAACAUGCUUCUAGACAAUGGUAUCUUAAGUUCAAUGAUACUAUUGUGUCCUUUGGAUUUAAGGAAAACAUCGUUGAUCGGUGUAUGUAUCUGAAGGUCAGUGGGAUUAUAUUCCUGAUUUUGUAUGUUGAUGAUAUCUUGCUUGCAACUAAUGAUCUUGGUCUAUUAAGUGAGACUAAGAAGUUUCUCUCUAAUAACUUUGAGAUGAAAGAUAUGGGUGAGGCAUACUAUGUGAUAGGAAUAGAAAUAUUUCGUGAUAAAUCAUAAGGACUGUUAGGUUUGUCUCAGAAAGCAUAUAUUAAUAAAGUUUUAGAGAGAUUCAGAAUGGAUAAAUGUUCAACAUCUCCUUUUCCAAUACAGAAAGGAGACAAAUUUAUUCUCAUGCAAUGUCCAAAGAAUGAUUUGGAACGGAAACAGAUGGAGAAUAUACCUUAUGCAUCUAUUGUUGGGAGUUUUGCUCAAACUUGUACACGACCAGAUAUUAGUUUUGCAGUUGGUAUGCUUGGUAGAUACUAGAGUAAUCCAGGAUGGGAUCAUUGGAAAGCUGCAAAGAAAAUUUUAAGAUACUUGCAAGGAACGAAGGAUCACAUGCUUACUUAUAAAAGAUCUUAUCAUCUUAAGGUGAUUGGAUAUACAAAUUCAGAUUUUGCUGGCUGUGUGGAUACACGAAAGUCUACAUUUGGUUAUGUGUAUCUUUUAGCCGGAGGAGCGAUUUCAUGGAAAAGUGCGAAGCAGAUAGUCAUUGUUGCAUCCACCAUGGAGGCUGAAUUUGUGUCAUGCUUUGAGGCCACAGUUUAGGCUAAUUGGUUGUGGAUUUUUGUUUCAGGACUUGGAAUUGUUGACAACAUUGCCAAGCCGCUGAGAAUUUAUUGUGAUAACUCCGCAGCCGUCUUCUUUUCUAAAAACAACAAGUAUUCCAAAGGUGCUAAACAUAUGGAAUUGAAAUACUUUGUCGUUAAAGAAGAAGUUCAAAAACAUAGAGUGUCAAUAGAACAUAUUAGCACUGAUCUUAUGAUUGCUGACCCUUUAACAAAAGGGUUACCGCCCAAAACAUUUACUGGUCAUGUUGUAAAUAUGGGCAUUAUGUCUACUAGUGAAUGAUGAAUGUUGUUAUUAACGCUUAUUUGACGCUCUGAGCUCAUUGAUAAAUAAAGUUUUUGAAAUUUAUGUUUUCUACUUUAUGUAUAUGCAUGUAAAUUAUGUUGUGGAAAACAAAUUAUGUUGUUAUUGAUGAAAAAUGACAUUAUAUUUGAACCUAUUAUGGAUUUCUCAUUAUAAAGUCAUAUUAAGGAGAAAUAAUGAUAUAGUAGUACAUGGAAGGAAAUGUGUUGAUUGAAAUGGCAUGUAACCACCAUGACUCUUAUUAUUUCUGUAUCCUUGAUUUUGAUUAAUGAUAGAACUAAUUUAUGUAAGGCCUUUUAAAUGCGCAUUUAUGCAAUUAUUAAAUCAUGAAAGUAUUAUAACUCAUAUGAGUCAAGUGGGAGAAUGUAAGAAAUUAUGUAAAUUAAUUUCUAUAAAGUGACUCACAUGACUUUGAGUUUGGAUUGUGGGCCCGAAUAUGAUUUAAUAAUGAUCCUGCCUGUUGACCGGAACGCUGGAAACUGCCUCGUCAAAGGAUCGACGUGCGCACCGCUUCAAGCCUCCGUUCCUCUUCGAGAUUCACCUCAAGAACCUGCAAAGAAACAGAGCGGCGCCGCUGCGGCCGAUCGCACUCCAACGCUCAAGUCAGUGACCGAAUCACCAAAUACUAAGAGAACAAGAACCGUGCAAAUCCUCUCUCACAGUAAGCUCUAUAACUCGCAAGCGUAAAGAAUGUAUUCUGAACGUGCGUACCUCAGAAAGUUCGUUGAGAACUCUUAUAUACCUGGUUACUUUCUCUCUCCUGGCAGUUACAGACUUGGACACGUGGCUCGCAUCCAACCGUACACGUGCCAUCAUCUGGAGCCUCCUUGACUUGGGCGCUGCUUCUGACUCUCUUUUUGGCUAAGUUAUUUAUGCAUGGUGCUGCCCAGUACAUAGCUAACUUGGGAGUGCGAUCUCUACUGGAACUGGCGAGUUAGGAUGCCCUCAUACACCUUCCCUGUGGUCUCGCCAGCCGCCUUCAUAAUCUGCACCACCUUCAUCUCUGGCGAUGUGCUUGCUCUGGCGAUCUCCAAUCACUAGGUCGCCUGAGUCUACAUCUGGCGACUUCAUCUUUAACCCGGUGAUCGCCGAUUCUGGUAUGCUGGAGAUCGGAACACGCCAACUUAACAAUUGGCGACUUCACGAGCCCCCCGACUUCCUUCCCUUCUGCCAACCUGGCACCUUGUCAACACGCCUAUACUGUAGCUUGAUGCCACGUCAUCACUUCCGACUACCAGGGCGGUACACAAGCCCCCCANNNNNNNNNNNNNNNNNNNNNNNNNNNNNNNNNNNNNNNNNNNNNNNNNNNNNNNNNNNNNNNNNNNNNNNNNNNNNNNNNNNNNNNNNNNNNNNNNNNNCAACACCGAUCUACGUGGCACUGACGCAGAAUCCCAAGCGGUUGUACCUUCUGCUGCUCUGACGCUCCACCAAACUCCUCGUCCAUCGCUCGACACGUGGCUUCAUCAACGGUUACCUUCAGUUACCGUUUGCGCUUCCCAAACCCAUUUCGAAAAAACCCUUAAACCCAUUUUCGCUCCACACUGUUCCAUCACUUUUCUUCGUAUCUUCAAACGCUCUCACCUUCUCCUGCAAAAACUCUCUUAGCGCUCUUCAACAUUCCAAAUCAUCAUCAACCUUCAUCGUCUUCCUGAUCAUCAAAAGGUACCUACUUUCCUUCUUCUGCUGGUUUUUCUUGCAUUUUAACCGAUUCGCAUCAUCCUGUAACUGCCUGGUGCAUACGCUGUGGGUUGCUUUUUCCAUUUCUCCUUCUACGUAACUUAGGGCUUCGUCAAUCAUCGCAACGAACCUACGUUCGUUCGUUUUUCACCUUUCUUCCAUGAUCGAGUCAGCCUCUGUAACCCNNNNNNNNNNNNNNNNNNNNNNNNNNNNNNNNNNNNNNNNNNNNNNNNNNNNNNNNNNNNNNNNNNNNNNNNNNNNNNNNNNNNNNNNNNNNNNNNNNNNCCUUUUCUUCUUCCUUUGCAGCUGCAACAAUGACUCGCACAAAGAUCACCCCGAAUCCUCCUCCUUCAUCACGAAACCCCCCUUCACAAGCACACGACCCACCACGAGUUCGUGGCGCUUCAUCCUCCCAGGCUGAGAGGCCUGCGUCUUCCUGCCCUAACCUGGCCCAGGCGACUCUACCUAUCGCCGGCGGAGCCCCCGUCCCCUUGCCGGACUUCAAAACCCUGUAUCCCUGGGCCAACUCGACCCUGUUGAAGGAAACGUCUUCCGUGAACACUGCUGGGGCAGUUUUGCGACUGACUAAGGGGGAUGAGCCCAACCAAACGUUUCAUAAGGAGCACGAUGAGAAAAUGAUAGUGCUGCCUUGCUCCCCCGAUCUGCCCGUUUGUGCUGAUGACAAGGUGAGUGCUGACGGACCCUUCUGCUUUGUUUACACAACACUAUUCAAGAAGGUGAAACUGAAGUUUCCCUUUACCCGAUUCGAGAGGGAACUCCUUACCGAGCUCAACAUUGCCACCGCCCAGCUUCACCCCAACAGUUGGGCGUUUGUUCGAGCAUUCCAAGUGAUGUGCGACCACCUGGGGUUGCCCGCAUCCGUAGACGUGUUUUUAUUUCUCUUCGAAGCCAAGCACCCGGGAGACCGCCUAUGGGUUAGCUUGAAUGGGAUUGCUGGGAGGUCCAUCUUUGCUAUCUUCCAGCAAUCCUAUAAAGAUUGGAAAGGGAAAUUCGUUCAAAUGCGCCCUAACGACAAGGACGCCUCCCUACUCGACGGCUUCCCCUUGUACUGGGUGGACAAGGGGAAGAAAGAGUCCAAGAGCUGCUUCAGGAGACCUAGAAGUCCUGACAGCAUGGGAGCGUUGGACCGAGAUCUCUGCCUUUUCUGGAAAAGGGUCGCGGAUGCCAACAUUACUUUCCUUACCACCACCCUAAUCUGCUUCGAAUUCUACGAGGACCAACUCGAAAUUCGAAUAGGUUAGAACAUUUAAACUGUUGUUUUAAUACUGCUUCUAUUUGACUGUUUCUGGGCGUCUUGUGCGUUAUGCGCAAGACUUUGGUUUUAUUUUUCCUGCACCAAUCAUCUGCUUUGCUGCAUACUGCCUUAUGCACUUAUCUUCUCCUUGAGUUAACCCAUGCAUGUUCGUCUCAUGCAGAUAACAUGUUGGGCAAGGGUAUGCUUGCGGAAUUGAGGGCGCUCGCCCGAACCCACGGGUUGGCGACGGGUUCUCAAACAGUACCCAACUCGGUGGUGGAGACAGCCAUCGUCCACGGGCGAUCGCGACCUAAGGAACCCGCCCAACGCAAGAAACUAGUCCUCAAGAGGCCCAAAAGGAAAGCUCCUCAAGUGAUCCACGAAGAGGAAGAGGAGGACGACGAGGCCACUGAAGACGGCCUUGUCACAAAGAGGAAGANNNNNNNNNNNNNNNNNNNNNNNNNNNNNNNNNNNNNNNNNNNNNNNNNNNNNNNNNNNNNNNNNNNNNNNNNNNNNNNNNNNNNNNNNNNNNNNNNNNNUCCUUGUGCUUCAGAGCAAGAGACCGGGUGGCUAGGUGUUCUCUUCGAACCUGCCUUAGCCACCCUCAGAACUUCUUCUUCCCUAUACACCAUACCUGAACUCGUUCGAGACGAGAAGGAUUUUAUCUUGCCUGAACUCGCUCAUAGGCGAGAAGGUCUUUAACUCGCCUGAACUCGCUCAUAGGCGAGAAGGUCUUUUACUCGCCUGAACUCGCUCAUAGGCGAGAAGGUCUUUGAAUCGUGCCUCUACAUUGCUCCAGGGGUUACAUCUUCUCGCCCCCAGAAACACGGAGGACUUUUUCUUGCCUCUACAUUGCCCCAGGGGCUACAUCUUCUCGCCCCCAGAAACACUGAGGACUUUUCACUGGUGCCUCUACAUUGCCCCAGGGGUUGCAUCUUCUCGCCCCCAGAAACACUGAGGACUUUUCACUGGUGCCUCUACAUUGCCCCAGGGGUUACAUCUUCUCGCCCCCAGAAACACUGAGGACUUUUCACUCUUUCUCACCUGCACUCGCUCGACGGCGAGGAGGUCUUUUACCUGCCUCGGAACGCGCGCGGGCGUUGAGGUCUUUUAACUGGUGCCUCCGAUCGCCGAAAGACGAUGAGGACUUAAAAACUUUAACUGAUGCCUCCAAUCACCGAAAAACGACGAGGACUUAAAACUUUUUAGAAAGCAUGCAAUAUAUCUUUACUCGCCUUAAAUCACGUAUGAGUGACAAGGUCUUUCUUCAAAACCUUUUUGGAAAACAGCAAACAUGCCAUCUGAAAACGCUUUAUACUUCGUAAACUCUUCUUUUAUUGGGUGGCCUCAUUAAAACCCUCCUUAGGGAAAAAAGAGUGCCCUCUUCAACUGUUUCAUCCGAGAGAGACAUUGGAAUAUAACUUUUGUGUUUGUCCUUACUUACAAGGCUCUUAACUAUAGUACAACUUCAGGUGCGGGGCGUUCCAAGUGCGAGGAAUCGCCCUUCCUUCCAGCGUCUCCAAGCGGUAGGCGCCGUUCCCGAGCGCCUCGGUUAUUCUGAACGGUCCAGUCCACUUGGGCGACAGUUUAUUCUCCAUCUCGUACUGGUGGGCCUUCCUCAUCACCAGGUCGCCUUCUCUAAACUGCCUUGGCAUCACCUUCGAGUUAUAUCUUCGUUCAACCCUCCUCUUUACCGCCUCAACCUUCAAUCUCGCUUCCUCUCUAACCUCAUCCAGUAGAUCCAGGUUCAACCUUCUCUCUUCAUUCGAGUCUUCCUCUACAAAGUUCAAGAAUCUCGGCGAGCUCUCCUGAAUCUCCACUGGAAUCAUCGCAUCACACCCAUAGACUAGGCUGAACGGGGUCUCAUGGGUUCCUGACUGCUCGGUGGUAUGGUAUGCCCAGACUAUACGGGGCACCUCCUCAGCCCAGCUUCCCUUGGCUUUUUCUAGCCUUCUUUUCAAACCUCUCAGCAACACCCGAUUAGCUGACUCCACCUGGCCAUUUGACUGAGGGUGCUCGACGGAUGCAAACACUUGUUGAAUUCCCACCCGCAAAGCUUCUUCAACAGGUGGCUUGCAAACUGAGUCCCAUUAUCCGACACCAGGCGUUUAGGCNNNNNNNNNNNNNNNNNNNNNNNNNNNNNNNNNNNNNNNNNNNNNNNNNNNNNNNNNNNNNNNNNNNNNNNNNNNNNNNNNNNNNNNNNNNNNNNNNNNNCCCCACAAGCUCCUGCUUCCCCAGUCCAAGCGAUCCCGCUGGCCACUGCGCCACCUGCAAUUGAGGCCCAAGAGCCAAAUUUCAUGGAGGACCCCCCGAGCGCCUCCACACCAUACGUAUCAGCUGGAGGGGGUCCCCCUUCAAAUGCUUCACCUGCGGAGGCUGCUCCAAUCGGGGAUGAGGUUGCUCAUACCUCUCCGAUUCUGAUCACCGAAUCCCCGAUUCCGUCGCCACGCCAAAAAGCGCCUACUGAAGAACCUGCUAAGGAAGGUGGCGACGAGAACCAACAACAGGCUCCCAUAGCGCCUCUACAUGCAACAAACCUCCCUCUCGAGGUUACAAGGAUGUGGGAGCCUCUACCUGCUAAGCUGAAGACGAUAGCAGAUGACAUCCCCGCCGUCAUAACCAGAGCUGUGGAGGGCUCCACCAGGAAACUCCAGGACGACCUCUUCAACCUCAAAACUGAAAACAGCACUAUAAGGGUCGAGGUGGAGAAGUUGUCCUUCAACCUGACGCUCGCGGAAAUCGAACACUCCCGAGUGGAGGACGCAAUGAGCACCGAGCUCAGGCUGGCGCGCAAGGAGGCCACUGACCUUCGCCACAAGGUGCAACUACUUGCUCAAGAAAAGAUUGAACUGGAGAGCAAGAUUGUGCCCUAUCGCGUCAAGGUGGCUGACCUGGAGGCUCUUAUAAAAACUGACGCCGUCAAGGUGAAGAAACUAGAGCAAAGGUCAGCCGACCGGGAGAAACUCCUUGGACAGGUGGAAAAGGCGAGGGACGACGCCAUAGCUGAUCUUGCCGAGGCCAACAAAGAGAAAGGAAAGGUAGCUGCUGAAUUGGCCCAAGCACAAGCGGAAUCCAAGAAGGUUGCUGAAGACCUUCUCCAGGCUCAAGAGACCAAUGAACAACUCAAGAAACAGGUUGAAGAGCUGGAGCAACAGAAUAAGGAGCUGAAAGAGCAAACUGAAGAUCUCAAUAAGCGGAUUGAGGAACUUCAGAAGCAGAUUGAAGAACUCAAGCUGAACUCUGCUCAAAUUCUGGCUGCCGGAUUCGAAGCUGCGCGGGAACAAUUUGCCUGCUUAUUCCCCGACCUGGACCUCAGCAUGGUGUCUCUUGACAACGAGGUAGUGGAUGGAAAGGUGGUCCCUGCUGAAGAUUAAACGAUUCUCUCCAUCUGCUACUUUCGUGCCUUUUCCUUGCAUAUACUUUUGUAAUAAACUCACAUUUUCUUGGACAUGUAUUUACCGAGUUGGCGUGUAUUUUCUUGAACUGAUACUUUGCUUAAUGAAGUUACUUUCGCAUUUCUUCUUGUAAUCCCUUUGUUUACCUUUAACUUUCCUUGCAUGAUUUACUUUCAACGAAAUAACUUAGUAAUCUCGUAGGCACGAUCUUGUACUUGGCUGUUUCGAACCAUCUCAACUUCGAAUAAUAAUCACAUUGAUCAACUCGUAACUUAAGGCAAUAAACCUUAGCGUAAAAUGAUACCUUAAGCAAUGGACUUUAACUCAACCCCUGGCUUUAUAACACCGCUACACCCGAUCUGCUUCAUCAAAGUUGUUGAUCGCGGAUAACGGCACUCGAGCAUGAUUUACCGUANNNNNNNNNNNNNNNNNNNNNNNNNNNNNNNNNNNNNNNNNNNNNNNNNNNNNNNNNNNNNNNNNNNNNNNNNNNNNNNNNNNNNNNNNNNNNNNNNNNNGGCAUUGUUUGCAACAUUGGGCAUACUUCUUGCAGUCUUCUCUCAUCGAUGGCCAAUAGUACCCUGCACGGAGAGUCCUCGCGGCCAGAGCUCGACCCCCGACGUGGCUUCCGCAUAUACCUUCGUGGAGCUCUGCCAUGAUUCUCGUGCACUUCUCGCCAUGUAUACAUUCCAGGAGCGGGUGGGUGAACCCAAACCUGUACAGAUCGCCAUCAAUCAGGGUGUACUUGCUAGAAUUCUUCUUUACCUUCCUAGCCUCAGCCGGAUCCAGUGGGAGAAGGCCAUCCGCCAGGCACCGCUUGUACUGUGUUAUCCAAGUGUCUGGCUCAUGUGUAGCGCAGACCUGCAUCACGUUCACCUUCUCUCCCCGACAUGCUCUAAUUCUUGGCGAUCUCAGAGUUUCUUGCGUCAGGGACUUAUGGCUUCUCGCUGCUUUCUCCGUCGACUUGCUUAUCUGAAGGACCAGGUGAUCUUCCACAAAUGCUCUCGGCGUCUUCAGAGUUUCUUGAAUCACCGUCCUCUGCCUACCCCCCUUGCCUGAACUGGCGAGCUUAGCUAGCAAGUCAGCUCGGGCAUUCUGCUCUCUGGGCACAUGCACUACUUCAAAGGAGGCAAAGGAACUCUUCAAUUCCUGCACAUAUUCCAGAUAGGCCGCCCUUUGUGGAUCUUUAGCCUGGAACUCGCCUGUUACUUGCCCUGUGACUAGCAGCGAGUCACUCUUAGCCAUCAGCACCCUAGCUCCCAUCUCCUUGGCCAGCAAAAUUCCGGCGAUCAGCGCCUCAUACUCUGCUUGAUUGUUACUAGCUUUGAAGGCAAAUCUCAAAGAUUGCUCGAUCAGCACGCCGUUGGGCCCUUCUAAAAUGACUCCAGCACCGCUACCCUGCUGGUUCGACGAUCCAUCCACCGAAAGUACCCAACGGAAAUCAACCCCUUCAACUCACGUUGCCUCAGAUGAGAGCUCGACCACGAAAUCUGCAAAGAUUUGCCCCUUAAUCGAGCCUCGGGGCUCAUAUUUGAUAUCAAACUCCGGCAAUUCCACUGCCCACUUCACCAUCCUUCCUGCAACGUCAGGCUUCUUGAAGACCUUCUGGAUGGGCAGGUCAGUCAUCACCAGUAUUGUGAAGCUAUGGAAGUAGUGGCGCAACCUCCUCGCCGAAAAUACCACAGCCAGCGCAGCCUUCUCCAGGGCCUGAUAUCUCGUUUCGGGGCCCUGCAACACCUUGCUCACAAAAUAAAUAGGCUUCUGAGCCUGACAUUGAUCUUGGGCGAGCACCGCACUCACCGCCCUCUCAGUUACAGCAAAAUACAACCUGAGAGGGGUUCCCACCAGCGGUUUGCACAGAACCGGCGAGCUCGCCAGGUACUCCUUCAGCUUGACGAAAGCUUCCUCGCACUCUUUCGUCCAAACAAAUUUAUUGUUGCGCCUCAGGCAUUGAAAGUAGGGAUGGCCCUUCUCUCCGCUAGCUGACACGAAGCGAGACAGGGCUGUCAUCCAUCCUGUUAGCUGCUGGACUUCUUUCACCGUAGCUGGGCUCCUCAUCGCCAAGAUGGCGGCACACUUGUCGGGGUUGGCCUCUAUACCUCUUUCAGUUAAGAGGAAACCCAAAAACUCCCCAGCCUCCACGCCGAAAAUGCAUUUCUCGGGAUUCAGCUUCAAUCUAAACUUGGCGAUCGUUGUGAACAACUCCUCCAAGUCGGCAACGUGCUUGCUCUUUUCCGGCGAGGUCACGACCAUGUCAUCGACGUACGCUUGCACGUUCCUCCCCAGCAUCGGUGCAAGUACUCGAUCCAUCAGCCUCUGGUACGUGGCCCCCGCGUUCUUCAGCCCAAACAGCAUCACCUUGUAGCAAUAGCACGACCUCUCCGUCAUGAAGGCUGUCUUUUCUUCAUCCAUGGGAUGCAUCUUGAU